GCGGGGGUGGCCGAGCCAGGUCAAAGGUGCCAGCCUGAGGCGCUGGUCCCGUAGGGGUUCGGGGGUUCAAAUCCCCUCCCCCGCACCA
Molecule: transfer RNA, 88 nt
Filed under: Nitrososphaerota archaeon
Lineage: Archaea; Thermoproteati; Nitrososphaerota
Also listed under: 2 other names
Description: tRNA-Leu
Rfam family: tRNA
About the family: Transfer RNA (tRNA) molecules are approximately 80 nucleotides in length. Their secondary structure includes four short double-helical elements and three loops (D, anti-codon, and T loops).
Source: RNAcentral